CGGAAAGUAGCUUAGCUUGGUAAAGCGCUAGCUUCGGGAGCUAGAGACCGUGGGUUCAAAUCCCAUCUUUCCGACCA
This 77-nucleotide transfer RNA is filed under the name Anaeroplasmataceae bacterium. RNAcentral's name for it is "tRNA-Pro". It matches the Rfam family "tRNA". From Rfam's summary of the family: Transfer RNA (tRNA) molecules are approximately 80 nucleotides in length. The record is from RNAcentral. Lineage: Bacteria; Bacillati; Mycoplasmatota; Mollicutes; Anaeroplasmatales; Anaeroplasmataceae.